CUACUACACUGUAAAAAAUAAUUCAGUGGCUUAGUAAAUUUCACAAAAAUAAAGAGCUAUAUUAACUUAAUAAAAUCUUUUGAAAUCAUUUAAGUGAUAUUUUGAGUGGGUCAGAUUAAAAAGAAUAAUUAAAAAUCCAACAAAUAAUUUCUCUAAAAUUUACAUAUAUUAUUUAAGUUUAUGUAAUGAAAAUAAAUAAGUAUUUAACUAACUAAUUAUAUUUUUAAUAUACCUUCAAUAUUUCUGGUGAAUUCUAAUAGAAAUAUUUGAUAAUUAUUUACUUGUACUGAUCUGUUUUAGAAACUAAAGUUAUUAAGUAUUUCCAACCAAUUUUCCUAAAUAAAGUUCCAGCUUAAUAAAUGACAGUUUAAAUAAAUUGAGUAAAUUUCGCGGCUAAAGUGAUCACGUGUGCAGCUCCGCAGGAAAAAAAAAAAUCUGCUUUCCUCAGCAGCGACGUCGACUAGCCAUACACCUCACAGCUCCUGUUUCGUAGCUUAAUCGAAGUCACCUGAAGGACGGCUUUCCUCAGCAACGGCAAGACCCGCACUCCUCUCAUAUCGUGAAGUUUAACAAGUUUCGCGGCUCAAACAAGAGGCACCUGUCACUGAAGGACUGCUUUUCUCAGCAACGACGUGAACAGCAUUACUCGAAUUUCCUUUAAGUAACGCAGUCCUUUUAUAACUGUAUAUUUGCAAAACUGUUUUCAAAAGUUGAUUAAACAUUGACCGUGUGUACGUGUACAUAACAGUGUAGUUUUCGAAGUUAGUUAGUGGGGCAGCCAUAUGUAUGUUAGUUUUUUUUUUUUUUUUUUUUUGGAGUGGGUUAACGUUCGUACUAUUUGGAUCACCGUUUAUUUCAACCGCCAUUUGAAAGUCUAACGAUAAGUGUACCGUGGUCCAGCAACUAUAACUAUACAUGCCCAAUGGAAAACGAUUUUGUACAGGUUCCCCUUUGGGGUCAGUGGCUUGUCAAAAGGGAACACAUCAUUUAUGAACUUUCAAAUGACAACAUUCUUUCUUGUAAAAAGCUGUCACGUUGUUGUAAAACAUCAUAAUUACUACACGAACUCAAGUAUGAGCUCUUAAAUCACCACUACAAAUACGCCAUGCAAAAGUAUUUAAAAUGGCGUGGACAUAACAUAGACUGGUGCGUUUUAAUCAGCUCCCACUAUAGGGAGUCGGACAGUUUAAGGCCUGCUCCAUUGUAAAAUCAUUCUAGUGCACUGAAACCUAGAUCACAUACAAUAUCGGUCAAAAGUUUGAAAACCGUAAGCUUUUUAAUGUAACACAUCCAGACCUGGUGGGUAUUGAAGGACAGCGGAGGCUGGGGGAGGGGUACGUUGUUUUAAUUGAGUAAACUUACUAAAUUUCUUAAGAGUGUGUUUAAAUAUA
This is a long non-coding RNA of Carassius gibelio (silver crucian carp), 1391 nucleotides long. RefSeq lists it as uncharacterized. NCBI's taxonomy places the organism in Eukaryota, Metazoa, Chordata, Actinopteri, Cypriniformes, Cyprinidae. The transcript is spliced from 3 exons. The record is from RefSeq and is a predicted model, not a curated record.